RNAcentral lists this ribosomal RNA (587 nucleotides) under uncultured bacterium. Its description in RNAcentral is "bacterial SSU rRNA". The stretch from base 1 to 517 matches the Rfam family "Bacterial small subunit ribosomal RNA", at positions 338 to 873 of the family's 1533-position model. The record is from RNAcentral.
CCUACGGGAGGCAGCAGUGGGGAAUCUUGCGCAAUGGGCGAAAGCCUGACGCAGCCAUGCCGCGUGUAUGAUGAAGGUCUUAGGAUUGUAAAAUACUUUCACCGGUGAAGAUAAUGACUGUAGCCGGAGAAGAAGCCCCGGCUAACUUCGUGCCAGCAGCCGCGGUAAUACGAAGGGGGCUAGCGUUGCUCGGAAUUACUGGGCGUAAAGGGAGCGUAGGCGGACAUUUAAGUCAGAGGUGAAAUCCCGGAGCUUAACUUCGGAACUGCCUUUGAUACUGGGUGUCUUGAGUGUGAGAGAGGUAUGUGGAACUCCGAGUGUAGAGGUGAAAUUCGUAGAUAUUCGGAAGAACACCAGUGGCGAAGGCGACAUACUGGCUCAUUACUGACGCUGAGGCUCGAAAGCGUGGGGAGCAAACAGGAUUAGAUACCCUGGUAGUCCACGCCGUAAACGAUGAUUGCUAGUUGUCGGGAAGCUUGCUUCUCGGUGACGCAGCUAACGCAUUAAGCAAUCCGCCGNGGAGUACGGUCGCAGAUAAACUACAANAGAUAGAGCGNGAGAGUGCGACGACGACGACGAGGGAGAGG